This 323-nucleotide ribosomal RNA is filed under the name uncultured bacterium. Its description in RNAcentral is "bacterial SSU rRNA". It matches the Rfam family "Bacterial small subunit ribosomal RNA", at positions 28 to 334 of the family's 1533-position model. The record is from RNAcentral.
GACGAACGCUGGCGGCGCGCUUAACACAUGCAAGUCGAGCGAGAAGCUUUUAAAGGAUUCUUCGGAUGAAUUUAAAAGUGGAAAGCGGCGGACGGGUGAGUAACGCGUGAGAAACCUACCCUGCACAGGGGGAUAGCCAUUGGAAACGAUGAUUAAUACCCUAUAUGACCACGAUGCCGCAUGGCAUAGUGGUAAAAACUCCGGUGGUGCAGGAUGGUCUCGCGUCUGAUUAGCUAGUUGGUGAGGUAACGGCCCACCAAGGCGACGAUCAGUAGCCGGCCUGAGAGGGUGAACGGCCACACUGGAACUGAGACACGGUCCAG